Molecule: transfer RNA, 76 nt
Filed under: Pseudomonadota bacterium
Lineage: Bacteria; Pseudomonadati; Pseudomonadota
Also listed under: 1 other name
Description: tRNA-His
Rfam family: tRNA
About the family: Transfer RNA (tRNA) molecules are approximately 80 nucleotides in length. Their secondary structure includes four short double-helical elements and three loops (D, anti-codon, and T loops). Further hydrogen bonds mediate the characteristic L-shaped molecular structure. tRNAs have two regions of fundamental functional importance: the anti-codon, which is responsible for specific mRNA codon recognition, and the 3' end, to which the tRNAs corresponding amino acid is attached (by aminoacyl-tRNA synthetases). tRNAs cope with the degeneracy of the genetic code in two manners: having more than one tRNA (with a specific anti-codon) for a particular amino acid; and 'wobble' base-pairing, i.e. permitting non-standard base-pairing at the 3rd anti-codon position.
Source: RNAcentral
GCGGGCGUAGCUCAGGGGUCAGAGCGUCAGGCUGUGGCCCUGAAGGUCGCGGGUUCAAAUCCCGCCGCUCGCCCCA